AACGAACGCUGGCGGCAUGCCUAACACAUGCAAGUCGAACGAUCCCUUCGGGGAUAGUGGCGCAUGGGUGCGUAACGCGUGGGAACCUGCCCUUAGGUUCGGAAUAACUCAGAGAAAUUUGAGCUAAUACCGGAUAAUGUCUUCUGACCAAAGAUUUAUCGCCUUUGUAUGGGCCCGCGUUGGAUGAGCUAGUUGGUGGGGUAAAGGCCUACCAAGGCGACGAUCCAUAGCUGGUCUGAGAGGAUGAUCAGCCACACUGGGACUGGGACACGGCCCAGACUCCUACGGGAGGCAGCAGUGGGGAAUAUUGGACAAUGGGCGAAAGCCUGAUCCAGCUAUGCCGCGUGAGUGAUGAAGGCCUUAGGGUUGUAAAGCUCUUUUACCCGGGAUGAUAAUGACAGUACCGGAAGAAUAAGCCCCGGCUAACUCCGUG
Molecule: ribosomal RNA, 433 nt
Filed under: uncultured bacterium
Lineage: Bacteria
Description: partial 16S ribosomal RNA
Rfam family: Bacterial small subunit ribosomal RNA
Source: RNAcentral